UACAGAGGUCCCGAGCGUUGUUCGGAUUCACUGGGUUUAAAGGGUGCGUAGGCGGGCAUGUAAGUCCGUGGUGAAAUCUCCGAGCUUAACUCGGAAACUGCCAUGGAUACUAUGUGUCUUGAAUGUUGUGGAGGUGAGCGGAAUAUGUCAUGUAGCGGUGAAAUGCUUAGAUAUGACAUAGAACACCAAUUGCGAAGGCAGCUCACUACACAAAUAUUGACGCUGAGGCACGAAAGCGUGGGGAUCAAACAGG
This 253-nucleotide ribosomal RNA is filed under the name uncultured bacterium. Its description in RNAcentral is "partial 16S ribosomal RNA". It matches the Rfam family "Bacterial small subunit ribosomal RNA", at positions 524 to 776 of the family's 1533-position model. The record is from RNAcentral.